Lathyrus oleraceus (garden pea) is the source of this 1108-nucleotide long non-coding RNA. RefSeq lists it as uncharacterized. The transcript is spliced from 2 exons. NCBI's taxonomy places the organism in Eukaryota, Viridiplantae, Streptophyta, Magnoliopsida, Fabales, Fabaceae. The record is from RefSeq and is a predicted model, not a curated record.
CAAACCAUUUCCAACUACUCUUUUUUUGCUAACCAAAAGCAAAACAGGUCGAGACCUAGUAGGAGUGUAAACCGAACCAAUAACAUAUACUAACCAAUUUGAUGCAAUUCAGUUCAAAUAUCCAAAGCUAAAUGGAAAAUCAGUUGCAAAUGAAUUAAAGGGAAUAAAUCAUGUGCACAGCUAAAUGCCACGUGACCUAAUUCCAUAUUAUAGCUCAAAUUUCAUUUCCAGAAAUUCACUUAAUUUCCAGCUGGAUAAAUCAUGAUCUAACAACUCAGAUUCAAUUCCCUAAACUACCCCCUUGGAUUGCUCUAUAAAUGAGGCAAUCAUUGCCAAUCAUUAGGGAGGAAGGAUGGCUUUCUAACACAUUCUGGGCACACUCACAAAACUCAAUAUCUCCAUUCUAAGUAAGAGCAAGAAAUUAAAGAAGAAGUGGAAGAACAAGGCAUUGGACAGAAGAAGAAUACGAAGAAGGAAUAAAGUGGAAUUAGAAGAGCAUUGGAGCAUACCUGAGAAUCUCAUUACUGUUGCCGCCACCUCCAUCGUCGUCUCCGACAGGGUUCUUACACAAUUGGAUGCAAUUCGAUUAGUAGGUUUAGACUUGAUUUAUUUGGAUAAGGGAUUCGGGUCCACGAGGUGGAGACGAUUGUUUUGGUUUCUGAUGGUUCAUGUUUGGAGCUUCGCCGCCGUCGAUGAUGAGCUCUGGCACGACGGAGGCUGACUCUCCGGUCACGGCAAGUGGAUGGAAUGUUUGAACUAUGAUGGAGAUGAUUUGGCACGUGGUGGAAGAGAUUGGAUCUCCUUUGGUAAGCAGAUUGGGCUAAGGCUCAUGUGAUUGCUUGCUUGCACCAUGCAAGAGUCCACUACACCCUCAUUCUGUGAGGACCAAGGCCAAUGGGCCUUGGAUUGGGUUUCAGCGCCCAUUUCCUCUUUCCACCACCAAUUUCAGUGAUAUACCCCUUUUUUUUUUUCAAUUAUUUUGUUUAUUUUCUUAUUUUCAUUCAACAUUUUGGAUUAUAUUUUCGUCUGUUAUUCUGUCAUGUGCUUUUAAUAAUUGCUUCGUCAUAUUGCACUACAUGAGUUUAAUAUCAUUUUAUUUUGUUUGCAA